Molecule: signal recognition particle RNA, 98 nt
Filed under: Clostridia bacterium
Lineage: Bacteria; Bacillati; Bacillota; Clostridia
Description: signal recognition particle sRNA small type
Rfam family: Bacterial small signal recognition particle RNA
About the family: The signal recognition particle (SRP) is a universally conserved ribonucleoprotein involved in the co-translational targeting of proteins to membranes. Archaeal SRP consists of a 7S RNA and homologues of the eukaryotic SRP19 and SRP54 proteins.
Source: RNAcentral
GUGUUGGUCCUGUGCGACGGAGCGCUGUGAACCAUGUCAGGCGGGGAACCGAGCAGCAUUAAGCGGUCUGCCCGUGCGAUACAGUUCGCCUGCACGCC